This 497-nucleotide ribosomal RNA is filed under the name uncultured bacterium. RNAcentral describes it as "partial 16S ribosomal RNA". It matches the Rfam family "Bacterial small subunit ribosomal RNA", at positions 28 to 507 of the family's 1533-position model. The record is from RNAcentral.
GAUGAACGCUGGCGGCGUGCCUAAUACAUGCAAGUCGAGCGAACGGACGAGGAGCUUGCUUCUCUGAUGUUAGCGGCGGACGGGUGAGUAACACGUGGAUAACCUACCUAUAAGACUGGGAUAACUUCGGGAAACCGGAGCUAAUACCGGAUAAUAUUUUGAACCGCAUGGUUCAACAGUGAAAGACGGUUUUGCUGUCACUUAUAGAUGGAUCCGCGCUGCAUUAGCUAGUUGGUAAGGUAACGGCUUACCAAGGCAACGAUGCGUAGCCGACCUGAGAGGGUGAUCGGCCACACUGGAACUGAGACACGGUCCAGACUCCUACGGGAGGCAGCAGUAGGGAAUCUUCCGCAAUGGGCGAAAGCCUGACGGAGCAACGCCGCGUGAGUGAUGAAGGUCUUCGGAUCGUAAAACUCUGUUAUUAGGGAAGAACAUAUGUGUAAGUAACUGUGCACGUCUUGACGGUACCUAAUCAGAAAGCCACGGCUAACUACGUG